Long non-coding RNA from Camelina sativa (false flax), 516 nucleotides. RefSeq lists it as uncharacterized. NCBI's taxonomy places the organism in Eukaryota, Viridiplantae, Streptophyta, Magnoliopsida, Brassicales, Brassicaceae. The record is from RefSeq and is a predicted model, not a curated record.
UCUCUCUCUCCAACUCCUCCUCCUUUCAUAUUCCAAUAUUUUUUUGGUGAAUCUCUUCAUCAAACAUCAUCUAAUGGAGAGACAACCUACUCUAAAUAGUUUUUUUCCAUAACCUACUCCAACAAAUUCCUGCAUGUGAUCUAGUUUCAUUAGUCGUGUAUGAGAAAUCCCUUGAUCUAUAGCAAAAGAUGGUUUCGUCGUUGAUGGAGAUGCUUCCGUCAAAGCUGGCCAGUCGGUGGACAUAAUGGACUCAAGAAGGACUCAAAGAUUGGACGCUCAUAGCACAACACCGAAGACAUGAUUUUCUAACCAGUUGGUGCAUAUAAGUGAUGGAUUCCAGGAGUACACAAGUGUUGCAUUUACUGGUCUAAUCUGCUUACGUUUCUCUUUGUUUUUUUUGUUUUGAUAGACAAUUUUUAAAGUUCUAGUCCUUUCAUGUUUGGUCUAUCUCGGUUGGAAUUUGCAUUAUUAGUGGACAUAUAUCACAAUGUGGCUGUGGACAAAAAUACAUGUAUA